GCGCCUGUGGCGAAAUUGGUAGACGCGCCAGACUUAGGAUCUGGUGUCUUGCGAUGUGCAGGUUCGAGUCCUGUCAGGCGCACCA
Molecule: transfer RNA, 85 nt
Filed under: Prevotella sp.
Lineage: Bacteria; Pseudomonadati; Bacteroidota; Bacteroidia; Bacteroidales; Prevotellaceae
Also listed under: 2 other names
Description: tRNA-Leu
Rfam family: tRNA
About the family: Transfer RNA (tRNA) molecules are approximately 80 nucleotides in length. Their secondary structure includes four short double-helical elements and three loops (D, anti-codon, and T loops).
Source: RNAcentral